This 265-nucleotide ribosomal RNA is filed under the name uncultured bacterium. RNAcentral's name for it is "partial 16S ribosomal RNA". It matches the Rfam family "Bacterial small subunit ribosomal RNA", at positions 73 to 334 of the family's 1533-position model. The record is from RNAcentral.
UUUGUAUUCGUACGAAGGUGUCCUAGUGGCGAACGGGUGAGUAUCGCGUUGGUGACCUACCCCAAAGCCUGGGAUAACAGUUCGAAAGGACUGCUAAUACCGGAUGUGGUCAUCGGAUUUAGAAACCGAUGUCUAAAGGAUUUAUUCGCUUUGGGAGGGGCCUGCGUCCCAUCAGCUAGUUGGUAAGGUAACGGCUUACCAAGGCGACGACGGGUAGGGGACCUCAGAGGGUGGCCCCCCACAAUGGAACUGAAACACGGUCCAU